Molecule: RNase P RNA, 447 nt
Filed under: Propionibacteriaceae bacterium
Lineage: Bacteria; Bacillati; Actinomycetota; Actinomycetes; Propionibacteriales; Propionibacteriaceae
Description: RNase P RNA component class A
Rfam family: Bacterial RNase P class A
About the family: Ribonuclease P (RNase P) is a ubiquitous endoribonuclease, found in archaea, bacteria and eukarya as well as chloroplasts and mitochondria. Its best characterised activity is the generation of mature 5'-ends of tRNAs by cleaving the 5'-leader elements of precursor-tRNAs.
Source: RNAcentral
CGAGUUGGCCGGGUGAUCGCGGACUUCUUGGGGCAGGCAGCGCUUGUCCGAACACAAGAGUCUGAGGAAAGUCCGGGCUCCACAGGGCAAGGUGGUGGGUAACGCCCACCCGGGGUGACCCGCGGGAAAGUGCAACAGAAAGUAGACCGCCUGCUGUGGCAUACGUGCGAGCGUAUGUAACAACAGGUAAGGGUGAAACGGCGCGUGUAAGAGACCACCAGUGGUGCAGGUGACUGUGUCAGCUAGGUAAACCCCACCAGGAGCAAGGCCAAGACUGGGCGCCCCUAACCGGGUGCCCGCGCAAACGCUAUUAGGGCUGCCCGCCCGAUGUUUGCGGGUAGGCCGCACUGCCGAGCAAGGCAGAAGGACGUCAGCAAUGGCGUUCGCAGAUAGAUGAUCACCGCCCCGUAAAGGGCACAGAACCCGGCUUAUAGGCCAACUCGUCCC